UCCGCCGGUAGAGCUUGAUGGCCUGCAUCAGCCCCAGCGCCAGGCAGAACACCAAAGCCAGGUGCAAGGGCCGCGCCCAGCGGGUCUCCAGCCAGGAGGCCUCCAUCACUCUGCGCUGGCGGUCGCGCGGGCAGUGGUUCAAGAUGUGAGUCCUCAGCUUCCUGUUUCUGCCACCAUAACUGCAUUCUGCCUCCAUGGACUAACCUAACCAUUCAUCUAACCCUCUGGAAUUAUAAACCCAAAUAAACUCUUCUGUAAAUUGC
Molecule: non-coding RNA, 263 nt
Organism: Peromyscus maniculatus bairdii (prairie deer mouse)
Lineage: Eukaryota; Metazoa; Chordata; Mammalia; Rodentia; Cricetidae
Source: RefSeq, a predicted model, not a curated record